UUCUUCAAUAAAUCAAUAAAUCAAACUGGAUCCCCCAUCCGACAAAAUAUUCGAUAUUAAAACCCUGCAGCUAAAGCCUCUCAUGGCCCUGUGAACCCUAGCAAUCCAGCAGAAUCAAAGAGGAGAUUGUUCUAUCAGCAAUGGCAUUCAGUACAAGUGCAAAGAAAUCCAUAUGGUUAGUAGUCAGCAAACUGAAUACUUUGGGGCAACCAAGUAGGGGUUAUUUCUCUCCUAUUUCUCCAAGACAGUUUGCAAACCAGAUUGUAUGGAACCAGGUGUUUAUGAGAAAGUUCAGUGCCGAAGUAUCAGCUACUGAUCAAAUAAAUCGCAUCAAACAACUGAGGGAGAGAACAAGUGCCCCAAUUAAGGAUGUCAAAAGUGCUCUUGUUAAUUGUAAUUGGGAUUUAGAGGCUGCGCAAAAGGAUCUCAGAAAGAGAGGAGUGGUGCUUGCUUCAAAGAAAUCUUCUCGGGCUGCAUCCGAAGGUUUGCUCUCACUAGCACAGAUGGAUAAAAAGGCUGUUGUAGUUGAGCUCAACUGCGAGACAGAUUUUGUAGCAAGGAAUGAUACAUUUCAGUACCUGGCUUCUGCUUUGGCAAGGGCUGCUUUAUCAAUAGAAAAUCCAACUCCACUAUCCCAGGAAGCUUUUGCUUUUGGACCUGAAUACUUGGAGAACAUGAAGAUUAAUUUGGAUCAUCCCAAACUAUCUGGAGAAACUACAGUCCAAACUGCAGUUACAGAAGUUGCUGCCAUGGUGGGAGAGAAUGUCAAGAUUAGAAGAGGUUAUGCAUUGUCGUCGACUUCAUAUGGUGCUGUUGUAUCUUAUCUUCACACAUGUCCCCAGCCAGGUUUGGGUCGUAUUGCUGGAUUGGUUACAUUGGAAGUGGAAGAUGGCAAUGCUUCACUUGAUGCUCUUCAGCGGGUCGGCUCAUCAUUGGCAAUGCACAUAGUGGCAUCAAAGCCUUUGUUUUUGUCCAAGGAACUUGUUCCUUCAGAGGCAUUAGAGAGUGAGCGUGACAUACUGAAAACACAGGCAGAAAGUUCAGGGAAGUCGCAGAUGGUCGUUGAGAAAAUGGUGGAAGGUCGUAUUAGGAAGUACUAUGAAGAAGUUGUUUUGUCGGAGCAAAAGUAUUUCUUGGACGAUAGUAUUAGUGUGAAGGUAUAUCAGGCAUCUUUUAUUGCUUUUUUCUGUUUAGAAGCUUUAAAGGUUCAAGUGAGUUUUACUCGAGCCUUGCCCUAUUUGAAUGUUAUGACAGUUCAUAUUUUAUUAUUGACAACUUUGAAUGUCACUCUAAGAAUAGAGUGACCAGAUUUCAUUUUGAUUUUGAUGUCAUAUGCAGUCUCUGUUGAAUGAUUUAUCGAAGGAAGUUGGUUCCAGUGUUAGAAUCGGCAAAUUUCUCAGAAUGGAGGUUGGAGAAGGAAUCCAAAGGGCAGGAGCUUAGCAGCCCUUCACACUGUUGUUCAUGCUUCAUAAUCUUUAUCAGCAUUCUGAAUAACAUUAUUUCUCCGAAGUACUUGGAGCAAUAAACCCUGACAAUGACUUGACGUUUUCUUCUCCAUAUGAAGCAAACUUUUUUCCUACUGCAAUUUUUGUUGGAGAGCGACAGGAAAUAUCAAUUUCACCUAGUGAAGUAUUUAUUUUAUUUUUCGAUUCAAUCGAUGAAACUAUCAUUUAAUUUAUUUUUCUCAGACAUCUUUCGCUUGUUAUUGUAUCGUUUAUGAUGCGGUGGAAUUAAUCGAUGAAAACAUAGUAUUUUGAAACGGUUAUAGCUA
Molecule: RNA transcript, 1771 nt
Organism: Zingiber officinale
Lineage: Eukaryota; Viridiplantae; Streptophyta; Magnoliopsida; Zingiberales; Zingiberaceae
Gene name: elongation factor Ts, mitochondrial-like
Exons: 8
Source: RefSeq, a predicted model, not a curated record